UUCCUGGAUGACGGGUCAGCAUCAGUUUUGACCGUCGGAAAAAGGCUUAGGGAAUGUGGCAUCUCCGGAUGUGUUAUAGCCCUUUGUCGUAUACGGCGGUUGGGACUGAGGAACUCAGCACGCCGCAAGGCCGGGUUUUUAACCACGUUCGUGCUUAGGAUGUUGGCAUAAUGGCUUUAAGCGACCCGUCUUGAAACACGGACCAAGGAGUCUAACAUGCUUGCGAGUGUUUGAGUGGAAAACUCGAGCGCGUAAUGAAAGUGAAAGUUGGGAUCUC
This 277-nucleotide non-coding RNA is filed under the name Moniliophthora perniciosa FA553. Its description in RNAcentral is "Eukaryotic large subunit ribosomal RNA". It matches the Rfam family "Eukaryotic large subunit ribosomal RNA", at positions 481 to 744 of the family's 3401-position model. Lineage: Eukaryota; Fungi; Basidiomycota; Agaricomycetes; Agaricales; Marasmiaceae. The record is from Rfam by way of RNAcentral.